GACGAACGCUGGCGGCGUGCUUAACACAUGCAAGUCGAACGGAAAGGCCCUGCUUUUGUGGGGUGCUCGAGUGGCGAACGGGUGUGUAACACGUGAGUAACCUGCCCUUGACUUUGGGAUAACUUCAGGAAACUGGGGCUAAUACCGGAUAGGAGCUCCUGCUGCAUGGUGGGGGUUGGAAAGUUUCGGCGGUUGGGGAUGGACUCGCGGCUUAUCAGCUUGUUGGUGGGGUAGUGGCUUACCAAGGCUUUGACGGGUAGCCGGCCUGAGAGGGUGACCGGCCACAAUGGGACUGAGAGACGGCCCAGACUCCUACGGGAGGCAGCAGUGGGGAAUAUUGCACAAUGGGCGGAAGCCUGAUGCAGCAACGCCGCGUGCGGGAUGACGGCCUUCGGGGUGUAAACCGCUUUCGCCUGUGACGAAGCGUGAGUGACGGUAAUGGGUAAAGAAGCACCGGCUAACUACGUG
This 468-nucleotide ribosomal RNA is filed under the name uncultured bacterium. Its description in RNAcentral is "partial 16S ribosomal RNA". It matches the Rfam family "Bacterial small subunit ribosomal RNA", at positions 28 to 507 of the family's 1533-position model. The record is from RNAcentral.